GUUUAUAUAGUUUAAUUUAAAACCUUACAUUUUCAUUGUAAAAAUAAAGACACAUCUUUUAUAAAUA
This 67-nucleotide transfer RNA is filed under the name Nasimyia megacephala. RNAcentral's name for it is "tRNA-Glu". It matches the Rfam family "tRNA". From Rfam's summary of the family: Transfer RNA (tRNA) molecules are approximately 80 nucleotides in length. Their secondary structure includes four short double-helical elements and three loops (D, anti-codon, and T loops). The record is from RNAcentral. Lineage: Eukaryota; Metazoa; Arthropoda; Insecta; Diptera; Stratiomyidae.